GGUUUUUUUCCUUUUUUCCUUUUCACCCAGUAAAUUCCUCUCUAAUCACCCUUCAACAUGUCUGUGCACCCAAUCCUUCCUGGUCAUGUGACAAGAACUUGUUUUUUUCUACAUUUUUGGUGGCCUGUAUGGGGACAUGGGAAAAGUGUAGGGCAUGAGUUCCUGGCUGCCCCAUAAGGAAGGAAACUGCCAGAAGCCCUUUAGAAUGAAGAAAAGUGAGAAGAUUCUUGGAAAGUGGACUGAGCUUUUAACUCUGCAAGGGACCCUCAGCCCUCUUGGCAUACUGAAGUGAACACUCUGCAGCUAAGCACCACUGAAUCCAGCAGGACUUGAGACUUCAUCAUCUGCCAAAAAUGAGCUUUCCUAACAACAUGGGACCUAUUUGUCUAAAAAUAAACUGUCCUAGCCACAAGAGAUGAGACAAAACCCAAGACCACAGACUCAUUUUCUUCUAAAAUGCUCUGUCUGAAAGAUUUUAAGAAGAAAACGGGAGAGAAAUAUAAAAAGAAAAUAAAAACUUGGGACCCCAAUUCACUAUGCCAAAAGGGAAAAAAUUAAGCUGAAAGCUGAGUAAUGCAAGAAGCUGCCUUUCUUUUUGUUCCUAAGCAAAUAGCUACAGAUAAAAGGUUUAGUAUCUCCACAGGUAGCUACUCUAGGUUCACUUUAUCUUAUGUAAAGUGCUGAUUUGCAGAGCAUGAGAUGAAUACAUAGUUGACCCUUCCCCUAACCGCUCCUUUUCUCUUGCAAUAUGUGGAUUCAGUAAUGUGACCAUACCCUACCUCUUUCCCCUCCAGCCUGCUUUUCCCCAUUAAAUAUUGAAGCCCUCAAAAUAAUACUUGGAGAAAGGCAUAGACAUAUCACCCAGGUGGGUCCUUAACCUUUGCAAAAUAAACUUCUAAAUUGAUUGAGA
This 910-nucleotide long non-coding RNA is filed under the name Homo sapiens (human). RNAcentral describes it as "HSALNT0409077". Lineage: Eukaryota; Metazoa; Chordata; Mammalia; Primates; Hominidae. The record is from RNAcentral.